GAAGAGGACUCUGGGAGGGGAAGUGUUGCUCAGGGGCUGGAGCUGCCUGGCCUGAGAAGGCCGAGGCCCAGCCGGACACCGGGGGCGGGCGGCUCUGGGGGUGCAGCAGGUCCUGGCCGGGAGCCCCAUUCCCCCAGGAAGGGGCCGCACGGACCCCAGGCGGACUCGACUGCCGACCCCAGGACGCUGCGGCCCCCACGAUGGCACCGGCCGUGGGUCAGCGGCCUCCUGCCCCGGGAGCCCAGGGCCACGCAGGGCGCAGAGUCCGGGCCACCUGAGGUCUGGGGGAGGAAGCUGCGGCCCCUGGGCCUCGCGUGUCCCGGGGACGCCUGGCCUCGGCGGGGGCAGGGCAGCUGCCGCUCCCAGGCUGUGACCCUCCGCGGCCACGGAGCCGGGCUCCCGGGGUCCCCGAGACUGUCUGCGCUCUGGGCGCCUGACCCGCGCCGGGGUCCUGAGCCACACCUCGCGGGGGAAGAGAAGAGCCCCCCAAGGGCCGCGCUCGACUGGGGGGCACAGGCAGCCGGCUGGCCUUUCCCCGCGGGAGCUCCCCGAACACUGGCUCCCCGGGAGCUCCUGUCCUGCGGGCCCUGCCCAAGGCGGCGGCGGGAGGGGGCGGGAGGGGGCCGUGGGCUGGGGGGCGCCCGGCCCGGGGCCGCUGUCCUCGCAGCGCCCACGCACCGUCUCGGGGGGCUGGACCCCGCGAGUGGGCGGCAGGGCCCGGCUCCGUGGACAGGAGGGCCGGCAGGUGUGCGGGAGUGGCCGAGGGGCCACACGGACCAGCCCCCCAGGAAGGUCCCGCGGGAGCUGCGCCCCCACAGCGCGGGGACAGCCCCCCCUUGUGCUGAGGGCAGAGCUCCCAUCAGGGAACCCCGAGUCCCCUGCGGUCCGGUGCUGCGCGGAGCCACGGUCCUUCAUCCCUCCUCAGUCCCCUCCUCCCUCCUGCGCCCCGCUGGGGAUCGCCCCCCACCUUCCCAUCUUACAGAUGUGACACCGAGGCCCUGA
Molecule: long non-coding RNA, 1002 nt
Filed under: Canis lupus familiaris (dog)
Lineage: Eukaryota; Metazoa; Chordata; Mammalia; Carnivora; Canidae
Description: lncRNA (ENSCAFG00845016960.1)
Source: RNAcentral